Molecule: non-coding RNA, 246 nt
Organism: Danio rerio (zebrafish)
Lineage: Eukaryota; Metazoa; Chordata; Actinopteri; Cypriniformes; Danionidae
Source: RefSeq, a predicted model, not a curated record
CCACCUGUGGUCAUAAUGGACCUCCACAAGAAGGCAUCCUUUCAUCUCUCUGUGAGUGAUCUUUCACAGCCUCCACAAGAUUUUAAUGGAGAGGUGGAUUUAGAUAUGUUUUGGAAGGCACUGACAGAAGAACGAAUUGCUCAAGGAUUUUUUUCAAGUCAAAAAAACAAUCCAUUUUGUGUUACACCUAGUUACAACUUUUGGGCACCCUGGAUCGGGAGUAAGACUCGCAUAGCGAAUGUUGUU